RNAcentral lists this ribosomal RNA (465 nucleotides) under Vreelandella stevensii. RNAcentral describes it as "partial 16S ribosomal RNA". It matches the Rfam family "Bacterial small subunit ribosomal RNA", at positions 338 to 795 of the family's 1533-position model. The record is from RNAcentral. Lineage: Bacteria; Pseudomonadati; Pseudomonadota; Gammaproteobacteria; Oceanospirillales; Halomonadaceae.
CCUACGGGUGGCUGCAGUGGGGAAUAUUGGACAAUGGGCGAAAGCCUGAUCCAGCCAUGCCGCGUGUGUGAAGAAGGCCUUCGGGUUGUAAAGCACUUUCAGUGGGGAAGAAAGCCUUGGGGCUAAUACCCUCGAGGAAGGACAUCACCCACAGAAGAAGCACCGGCUAACUCCGUGCCAGCAGCCGCGGUAAUACGGAGGGUGCGAGCGUUAAUCGGAAUUACUGGGCGUAAAGCGCGCGUAGGCGGUCUGAUAAGCCGGUUGUGAAAGCCCCGGGCUCAACCUGGGAACGGCAUCCGGAACUGUCAGGCUAGAGUGCAGGAGAGGAAGGUAGAAUUCCCGGUGUAGCGGUGAAAUGCGUAGAGAUCGGGAGGAAUACCAGUGGCGAAGGCGGCCUUCUGGACUGACACUGACGCUGAGGUGCGAAAGCGUGGGUAGCAAGCAGGAUUAGAUACCCCGGUAGUC